GAUGAACGCUGGCGGCGUGCCUAAUACAUGCAAGUCGAGCGAACAGACGAGGAGCUUGCUCCUCUGACGUUAGCGGCGGACGGGUGAGUAACACGUGGAUAACCUACCUAUAAGACUGGGAUAACUUCGGGAAACCGGAGCUAAUACCGGAUAAUAUAUUGAACCGCAUGGUUCAAUAGUGAAAGACGGUUUUGCUGUCACUUAUAGAUGGAUCCGCGCCGCAUUAGCUAGUUGGUAAGGUAACGGCUUACCAAGGCAACGAUGCGUAGCCGACCUGAGAGGGUGAUCGGCCACACUGGAACUGAGACACGGUCCAGACUCCAACGGGAGGCAGCAGUAGGGAAUCUUCCGCAAUGGGCGAAAGCGUGACGGAGCAACGCCGCGUGAGUGAUGAAGGUCUUCGGAUCGUAAAACUCUGUUAUUAGGGAAGAACAAAUGUGUAAGUAACUAUGCACGUCUUGACGGUACCUAAUCAGAAAGCCACGGCUAACUACGUG
This 497-nucleotide ribosomal RNA is filed under the name uncultured bacterium. Its description in RNAcentral is "partial 16S ribosomal RNA". It matches the Rfam family "Bacterial small subunit ribosomal RNA", at positions 28 to 507 of the family's 1533-position model. The record is from RNAcentral.